RNAcentral lists this small RNA (79 nucleotides) under Flavobacterium chilense. RNAcentral's name for it is "Flavo-1 RNA". It matches the Rfam family "Flavo-1 RNA". Lineage: Bacteria; Pseudomonadati; Bacteroidota; Flavobacteriia; Flavobacteriales; Flavobacteriaceae. The record is from RNAcentral.
CCUUAGCCCUGAUAGAAGUGGAAAUCCUUUUGUGGAGCUUUAGCGGAACAAAAGAUUGAAACGGAUAGCAGGAAACAGC